AUUGAACGCUGGCGGCAGGCCUAACACAUGCAAGUCGAGCGGAUGAAGGGAGCUUGCUCCUGGAUUCCGCGGCGGACGGGUGAGUAAUGCCUAGGAAUCUGCCUGGUAGUGGGGGAUAACGUCCGGAAACGGGCGCUAAUACCGCAUACGUCCUGAGGGAGAAAGUGGGGGAUCUUCGGACCUCACGCUAUCAGAUGAGCCUAGGUCGGAUUAGCUAGUUGGUGGGGUAAAGGCCUACCAAGGCGACGAUCCGUAACUGGUCUGAGAGGAUGAUAAGUCACACUGGAACUGAGACACGGUCCAGACUCCUACGAGAGGCAGCAGUGGGGAAUAUUGGACAAUGGGCGAAAGCCUGAUCCAGCCAUGCCGCGUGUGUGAAGAAGGUCUUCGGAUUGUAAAGCACUUUAAGUUGGGAGGAAGGGCAGUAAGUUAAUACCUUGCUGUUUUGACGUUACCAACAGAAUAAGCACCGGCUAACUUCGUG
This 484-nucleotide ribosomal RNA is filed under the name uncultured bacterium. Its description in RNAcentral is "partial 16S ribosomal RNA". It matches the Rfam family "Bacterial small subunit ribosomal RNA", at positions 30 to 507 of the family's 1533-position model. The record is from RNAcentral.